RNAcentral lists this ribosomal RNA (492 nucleotides) under uncultured bacterium. RNAcentral's name for it is "partial 16S ribosomal RNA". It matches the Rfam family "Bacterial small subunit ribosomal RNA", at positions 29 to 507 of the family's 1533-position model. The record is from RNAcentral.
AGUGAACGCUGGCGGUAGGCCUAACACAUGCAAGUCGAACGGCAGCACAGUAAGAGCUUGCUCUUACGGGUGGCGAGUGGCGGACGGGUGAGGAUUACAUCGGAAUCUACUUUUUCGUGGGGGAUAACGUAGGGAAACUUACGCUAAUACCGCAUACGACCUACGGGUGAAAGCAGGGGAUCUUCGGACCUUGCGCGAUUGAAUGAGCCGAUGUCGGAUUAGCUAGUUGGCGGGGUAAAGGCCCACCAAGGCGACGAUCCGUAGCUGGUCUGAGAGGAUGAUCAGCCACACUGGAACUGAGACACGGUCCAGACUCCUACGGGAGGCAGCAGUGGGGAAUAUUGGACAAUGGGCGCAAGCCUGAUCCAGCCAUACCGCGUGGGUGAAGAAGGCCUUCGGGUUGUAAAGCCCUUUUGUUGGGAAAGAAAAGCAGCAGGUUAAUACCCCGCUGUUCCGACGGUACCCAAAGAAUAAGCACCGGCUAACUUCGUG